This 3008-nucleotide ribosomal RNA is filed under the name Iodobacter fluviatilis. RNAcentral's name for it is "23S ribosomal RNA". It matches the Rfam family "Bacterial large subunit ribosomal RNA". The record is from RNAcentral. Lineage: Bacteria; Pseudomonadati; Pseudomonadota; Betaproteobacteria; Neisseriales; Chitinibacteraceae.
GUUAUAGGAUCAAGCGACUAAGUGCAUCUGGUGGAUGCCUUGGCGAUGAUAGGCGAAGAAGGACGCGUUAGCCUGCGAAAAGCUACGGGGAGCUGGCAAAUAAGCAUUGAUCCGUAGAUAUCCGAAUGGGGAAACCCGGCCCUUUUGGGUCACUCAUCACUGAAUACAUAGGUGAUGUAGAGCGAACUCGGCGAACUGAAACAUCUAAGUAGCCGAAGGAAAAGAAAUCAACCGAGAUUCCCAAAGUAGUGGCGAGCGAAAUGGGAAGAGCCUGCAUGUGAUAAAUCAAACUUUAGUGGAACAGUCUGGAAAGUCUGGCGACAGUGGGUGAUAGCCCCGUACACGAAAAAGAUUGGUUGGUACUAAGCAUGCGACAAGUAGGGCGGGACACGAGAAAUCCUGUUUGAAGAUGGGGGGACCAUCCUCCAAGGCUAAAUACUCAUCAUCGACCGAUAGUGAACCAGUACCGUGAGGGAAAGGCGAAAAGAACCCCGGGAGGGGAGUGAAAUAGAACCUGAAACCGGAUGCAUACAAACAGUGGGAGCCCUUGCAAAAUGGGGUGACUGCGUACCUUUUGUAUAAUGGGUCAGCGACUUACGUUCAGUAGCAAGCUUAACCGAGUAGGGGAGGCGUAGGGAAACCGAGUCCGAAUAGGGCGCAUAGUUGCUGGGCGUAGACCCGAAACCAAGUGAUCUAUCCAUGGCCAGGAUGAAGCUGCGGUAAAACGCAGUGGAGGUCCGAACCCACUAAUGUUGCAAAAUUAGGGGAUGAGCUGUGGAUAGGGGUGAAAGGCUAAACAAACUUGGAAAUAGCUGGUUCUCCUCGAAAACUAUUUAGGUAGUGCCUCAUGUAUCACUGACGGGGGUAAAGCACUGUUAUGGCUAGGGGGUCAUCGCGACUUACCAAACCAUGGCAAACUCUGAAUACCGUCAAGUGCGAGCAUGGGAGACAGACUGUGGGUGCUAACGUCCAUGGUCAAGAGGGAAACAACCCAGAUCGCCGUCUAAGGUCCCAAAUAAUCAGUUAAGUGGAAAACGAGGUGGGAAGGCAUAGACAGCCAGGAUGUUGGCUUAGAAGCAGCCAUCAUUUAAAGAAAGCGUAAUAGCUCACUGGUCGAGUCGUCCUGCGCGGAAGAUGUAACGGGGCUCAAACUGAUAACCGAAGACGCGAAUAUGUGCGUUCCUUUAAGCACAUUCUAUAAGCUUGGCGUUGCGCAGCAACGUCAAAGCGUGUCAUUAAAGUCGAGUUGCUUCAAUGACGGAGUGGAUUUAAAGGAACGCACAUAUGGUAGAGGAGCGUUCCGUAGGCCUGCGAAGGUGUCUUGAGAAGGAUGCUGGAGGUAUCGGAAGUGCGAAUGCUGACAUGAGUAGCGAUAAUGCGGGUGAAAAGCCCGCACACCGAAAACCCAAGGUUUCCUGCGCAACGUUCAUCGGCGCAGGGUGAGUCGGCCCCUAAGGCGAGGCAGAAAUGCGUAGUCGAUGGACAACGGGUUAAUAUUCCCGUACCGAUAUAAAGUGCGAUGGGGGGACGGAGAAAGGUAGGUCAGCCCACUGUUGGAAUAGUGGGUUUAAGCGAGUAGGCGUGUGGCUUAGGCAAAUCCGGGCUGCUAUAACGCUGAGACGUGACGACGAAGUCCUCGGACUGAAGUGAUUGAUCCUAUGCUUCCAAGAAAAGCCUCUAAGCUUCAGCUUUAUAUUGACCGUACCGCAAACCGACACAGGUGGGUAGGAAGAGAAUUCUAAGGUGCUUGAGAGAACUCAGGAGAAGGAACUCGGCAAAUUAUCACCGUAACUUCGGGAGAAGGUGAGCCCAUAUUAAGUGAAAGCCCUUGCGGCUGGAGCUGAAAUGGGUCGCAGAGAAAUGGGGGCUGCGACUGUUUAUCAAAAACACAGCACUCUGCAAAGUCGAAAGACGACGUAUAGGGUGUGACGCCUGCCCGGUGCUGGAAGAUUAAAUGAUGGGGUGCAAGCUCUUGACUGAAGUCCCAGUAAACGGCGGCCGUAACUAUAACGGUCCUAAGGUAGCGAAAUUCCUUGUCGGGUAAGUUCCGACCCGCACGAAUGGCGUAACGAUGGCCCUACUGUCUCCUCCUGAGACUCAGCGAAGUUGAAAUGUUUGUGAAGAUGCAAUCUCCCCGCUGCUAGACGGAAAGACCCCGUGAACCUUUACUGUAGCUUUGCAUUGGACUUUGAAGUGGUUUGUGUAGGAUAGGUGGGAGGCAUUGAAGCGUGGACGCUAGUCUGCGUGGAGCCGACCUUGAAAUACCACCCUGACCCCUUUGAGGUUCUAACCUUGGUCCGUUAUCCGGAUCGGGGACCGUGCAUGGUAGGCAGUUUGACUGGGGCGGUCUCCUCCCAAAUUGUAACGGAGGAGCUCGAAGGUCGCCUAGGUACGGUCGGACAUCGUACUGAUAGUGUAAUGGCAUAAGGCGGCUUAACUGCGAGACAGACAAGUCGAGCAGGUGCGAAAGCAGGACAUAGUGAUCCGGUGGUUCUGAAUGGAAGGGCCAUCGCUCAACGGAUAAAAGGUACUCCGGGGAUAACAGGCUGAUUCCGCCCAAGAGUUCACAUCGACGGCGGAGUUUGGCACCUCGAUGUCGGCUCAUCACAUCCUGGGGCUGUAGCCGGUCCCAAGGGUAUGGCUGUUCGCCAUUUAAAGUGGUACGUGAGCUGGGUUCAAAACGUCGUGAGACAGUUUGGUCCCUAUCUGCAGUGGGCGUUGGAAAUUUGAGGGGGGCUGCUCCUAGUACGAGAGGACCGGAGUGGACAGAUCUCUGGUGUACCGGUUGUCACGCCAGUGGCAUCGCCGGGUAGCUAAAUCUGGAAGAGAUAAGCGCUGAAAGCAUCUAAGCGCGAAACUCGCCUCAAGAUGAGAUUUCCCCAAGGCUUUAAGCCUUUUAAAGGGUCGUUCGAGACCAGGACGUUGAUAGGUCGGGUGUGGAAGCGCAGUAAUGUGUUAAGCUAACCGAUACUAAUUGCCCGUAAGGCUUGAUCCUAUAACCUGAAGCG